Hemicordylus capensis (graceful crag lizard) is the source of this 541-nucleotide long non-coding RNA. RefSeq lists it as uncharacterized. The transcript is spliced from 2 exons. The record is from RefSeq and is a predicted model, not a curated record. Lineage: Eukaryota; Metazoa; Chordata; Lepidosauria; Squamata; Cordylidae.
GAACGCAGCGCCAGCUUUCAUCUAACUGCCGAAGGGGCCGCGUGGCCCCUUCAGCAGUUAGGCUGCUUCUGAACUCCCGAACAGAGCGAGGCUCCAUUCGGGAGCCAGACCACGCCCCCCGCGUCUGACGUCAGACACAGGGGCGUGGCUAUCCCCCAUGUCUGACAUCAGAUGCAGGGGGUGGGGCUAUCGGGGCACCUGCCGUGGGCGCACACAGGCCGCCGGCGGGCUGGCUACGCCCCUGCUCUGGGCAUCUUGAUGGGGGACAGUUACAGCAGGCUAUGGGCAAAUUGUUCACUCAGAGCUUCUUGUGGUUCUACAACUCUAAUCUGCCCUGCUUGAUGACACUCUCUCAGAUUCCACUUUGUGCCUUAAACCUUCUGCUUUAAAGUCUGCAGGAUAUUGACAGAACACACUGAUGAAAUGCCUUUACUAAAAGCAGCUAGACAUCGUUACAACCCAUUGCUGAUAGUUUAAUUUUAAAGAUGUGGCUAUUGUAAUUUUUAAUAUAUUGCAUAAAACACAUAAUGUUUAAUCAAAA